Molecule: long non-coding RNA, 560 nt
Filed under: Homo sapiens (human)
Lineage: Eukaryota; Metazoa; Chordata; Mammalia; Primates; Hominidae
Description: non-protein coding lnc-PTAFR-1:3
Source: RNAcentral
UGCCACAGAUUCUGUAGCUUCUUCUAAAACUUGACAGAUAUAUUUGCUUUGCUCUAAACACAUAACCACAAGCCAAGAAAGGUAAAUAAGUAGUCUGUUUCAAAGACUUUUUGGAUCUGAUGAGUUGGGGACAACCUCCCGUUGGUCCCCUUUCAUCUUUCAUUCUUCCUGGUAGAUUGGAUUUUAGAUGAGAUUAGAAAAAGGACUUGUGGUUCCUAAUUUUCCUUGAUUCUGUUGUUCUUUUGAGGAGGGAGGGGAGGGGCUCUUUUUUUUUUUAAUGAAAACUUUUUGCUAUACCCGUGCCUAUAGAAAGUUAAAUAUAUUGUAUGUGUACAGCCCAGUGGAUAUUCUCAAAGCACAGAUGCUCGUCUUUUGAUGAAAAAAAAUUCUUUUUAGGUGAAAGAGCGAAAAAAACAAUUAAAGAAGGAAGGAAAACCUACAAUUGUAGAGGAGGAUGAUCCUGAGCUGUUCAAACAAGCUGUAUAUAAACAGACAAUGAAACUCUUUGCAGAGCUGGAAAUUAAAAGGAAAGAGAGAGAAGCCAAAGAGAUGCAUGAAAG